Molecule: non-coding RNA, 854 nt
Organism: Pelobates cultripes (western spadefoot toad)
Lineage: Eukaryota; Metazoa; Chordata; Amphibia; Anura; Pelobatidae
Source: the annotation of a GenBank genome assembly
GUCCUUUGCUGAGAUAGAUCACUGCAAGAUUCUAUUAUGUUUAUUUAUUUCCUUUUUGACAUAUGCAACCAAUAAAACAGAAAAAAAAUCGAUUAACGAUUGUGUUUUUUUCUCUGAGGUUAAAAUAUCAUAGUCAAGAGAAUAGUGUCUAAAUUUGGCCAAAUGAAGAUCAUUUGAUUCUUCAGAUUAAACGAAAUAUGCAUUCUUACCAUCAUAAAUAUGAAAUGUGUUGUUUCUUAUUUUGCUGUUGUUUUCAUCUAGUCAUUUACAGUAAAUGAGAUUUUUGUAUUUCAUGUUUAUAAAUGUGUCCCUCAACAGUUAUUAAAAAUGCGACAUUAACAUUAACAUUCAAUCGCAAUCUCUGGAGACCGUAAGAAUUAAUAUCAGUUCAUAUGGAUAGAACAUUUUACUAAAUAUUCGACAGCUGAAAUCUGCUUGUAAACAUAUUAACCAUACUUACAUCCACUUGCUGCAUCCAGGAAAUAAAAUAAUGUAUUUGGCUGACCCAAGGGCAGUACCUUAGGGGAUUGAUAGGUUAAUGAAUGGUCUAGAAUAUUUGCUUCUCAGGCUUGCAGAGGCUAAAUGCGACACAGAUGUUUUGCAUUUUCAGAAGGCUCUGUGGCAGGGGAGUUAGUGUUGUUUAACUCUCCAGCUAUUUUUAUGGAACACUGGCACAAGGUUGCUUAGUGUCACCCUGAUCACCUUAUGGCAUUAUUAGUGAAAAGGUUGACGAAGUCAUUGCAAAUGCUGGGUUUGUACUAAGAAGAAAAAAAGAUGUUCACGCAAAUAAUUACAAAAUUGAGGUAUUUAGCACUGCACCAAUAUUCUCUGUUAUUGUGUCUGCUUAUUUAAAG